Molecule: ribosomal RNA, 253 nt
Filed under: uncultured bacterium
Lineage: Bacteria
Description: partial 16S ribosomal RNA
Rfam family: Bacterial small subunit ribosomal RNA
Source: RNAcentral
UACGUAGGGGGCAAGCGUUGUCCGGAUUUAUUGGGCGUAAAGAGCGUGUAGGCGGCCAGGUAGGUCGGCUGUGAAAACUCGAGGCUCAACCUCGAGACGCCGGUUGAAACCAUCUGGCUAGAGUCCGGAAGAGGAGAGUGGAAUUCCUGGUGUAGCGGUGAAAUGCGCAGAUAUCAGGAAGAACACCCGUGGCGAAGGCGGCUCUCUAGUACGGUACUGACGCUGAGACGCGAAAGCGUGGGGAGCGAACAGG